CAGGCUUAACACAUGCAAGUCGAGGGGCAGCAUGGUCUUAUCUUGCUAAGGCCGAUGGCGACCGGCGCACGGGUGAGUAACACGUAUCCAACCUGCCGUCUACUCUUGGACAGCCUUCUGAAAGGAAGAUUAAUACAAGAUGGCAUCAUGAGUCCGCAUGUUCACAUGAUUAAAGGUAUUCCGGUAGACGAUGGGGAUGCGUUCCAUUAGAUAGUAGGCGGGGUAACGGCCCACCUAGUCUUCGAUGGAUAGGGGUUCUGAGAGGAAGGUCCCCCACAUUGGAACUGAGACACGGUCCAAACUCCUACGGGAGGCAGCAGUGAGGAAUAUUGGUCAAUGGGCGAGAGCCUGAACCAGCCAAGUAGCGUGAAGGAUGACUGCCCUAUGGGUUGUAAACUUCUUUUAUAAAGGAAUAAAGUCGGGUAUGGAUACCCGUUUGCAUGUACUUUAUGAAUAAGGAUCGGCUAACUCCGUGCCAGCAGCCGCGGUAAUACGGAGGAUCCGAGCGUUAUCCGGAUUUAUUGGGUUUAAAGGGAGCGUAGAUGGAUGUUUAAGUCAGUUGUGAAAGUUUGCGGCUCAACCGUAAAAUUGCAGUUGAUACUGGAUAUCUUGAGUGCAGUUGAGGCAGGCGGAAUUCGUGGUGUAGCGGUGAAAUGCUUAGAUAUCACGAAGAACUCCGAUUGCGAAGGCAGCCUGCUAAGCUGCAACUGACAUUGAGGCUCGAAAGUGUGGGUAUCAAGCAGGAUUAGAUACCCUGGUAGUCCACACGGUAAACGAUGAAUACUCGCUGUUUGCGAUAUACUGCAAGCGGCCAAGCGAAAGCGUUAAGUAUUCCACCUGGGGAGUACGCCGGCAACGGUGAAACUCAAAGGAAUUGACGGGGGCCCGCACAAGCGGAGGAACAUGUGGUUUAAUUCGAUGAUACGCGAGGAACCUUACCCGGGCUUAAAUUGCAGAUGAAUUACGGUGAAAGCCGUAAGCCGCAAGGCAUCUGUGAAGGUGCUGCAUGGUUGUCGUCAGCUCGUGCCGUGAGGUGUCGGCUUAAGUGCCAUAACGAGCGCAACCCUUGUUGUCAGUUACUAGCAGGUUCCGCUGAGGACUCUGACAAGACUGCCAUCGUAAGAUGUGAGGAAGGUGGGGAUGACGUCAAAUCAGCACGGCCCUUACGUCCGGGGCUACACACGUGUUACAAUGGGGGGUACAGAGGGCCGCUCCCACGCGAGUGGAUGCCAAUCCCCAAAACCUCUCUCAGUUCGGACUGGAGUCUGCAACCCGACUCCACGAAGCUGGAUCCGCUAGUAAUCGCGCAUCAGCCACGGCGCGGUGAAUACGUUCCCGGGCCUUGUACACACCGCCCGUCAAGCCAUGGGAGCCGGGGGUACCUGAAGUGCGUAACCGCGAGGAGCGCCCUAGGGUAAAACUGGUGACUGGGGC
RNAcentral lists this ribosomal RNA (1434 nucleotides) under uncultured organism. Its description in RNAcentral is "16S ribosomal RNA". It matches the Rfam family "Bacterial small subunit ribosomal RNA". The record is from RNAcentral.